This 160-nucleotide ribosomal RNA is filed under the name uncultured bacterium. RNAcentral describes it as "partial 16S ribosomal RNA". The record is from RNAcentral.
CACAGAGUUAGCCGGGGCUUCCUCUCCAAGUACCGUCAAGGUCAAGGCGUAUUAGGCCCCAACCCUUCGUCCCUGACGACAGGGUUUUACGAUCCGAAGACCUUCAUCACCCACGCGGCGUUGCUGCGUCAGACUUUCGUCCAUUGCGCAAAAUUCCCCA